GGACCCCACUGCUAUCGGGAUAGGACUAAGACAUGCUAGUCGUGCGUCUCCUAGCUAUGUUGGAGGCGCGGCACACAGCUCAGUAACACGUGGCUAACCUGCCCUUGGGACGGAAACACCCCCGGGAAACUGGGGUUAAUUUUCGAUAGGUGAAGACUCCUGGAAUGGUUUUUUGCUGAAAAGGCGUUUGGAGCAUGCUUCUAAGCGUUGCCCAAGGAUGGGGCCGCGGCCGAUCAGGUUGUUGGUGAGGUAAUGGCUCACCAAGCCUUUUACCGGUACGGGCCGUGGGAGCGGGAGCCCGGAGAUGGGCACUGAGACAAGGGCCCAGGCCCUACGGGGCGCAGCAGUCGCGAAAACUCCGCAAUAAGCGAAAGCUUGACGGGGUUAUCCCGAGUGCCGUCUGCUGAAGAUGGCUUUUACCCAGUGUAGAUAGCUGGGAGAAUAAGGAGAGGGCAAGUCUGGUGUCAGCCGCCGCGGUAAUACCAGCUCUCCGAGUUGUGGGGAUAAUUAUUUGGCCUAAAGCAUCCGUAGCCGGCUGAGCAAGUCCUCCGUUAAAUCCAGCGACUAAUCGUUGGCCUGCGGGGGAUACUGUUUGGCUAGGGGGCGGGAGAGGCCGCCGGUAUUCUCGGGGUAGGGGUGAAAUCCUAUAAUCCCGGGAGGACCACCAGUGGCGAAGGCUGUCGGCUAGCACGCGCCUGACGGUGAGGGACGAAAGCUGGGGGAGCGAACCGGAUUAGAUACCCGGGUAGUCCCUGCUGUAAACGAUGCGAGCUANGUGUUG
This 781-nucleotide ribosomal RNA is filed under the name uncultured archaeon. Its description in RNAcentral is "bacterial SSU rRNA". It matches the Rfam family "Archaeal small subunit ribosomal RNA", at positions 19 to 776 of the family's 1478-position model. The record is from RNAcentral.